CAACUGACUUCACCGUCUUAUCAAAAAAAAAAAAAAAAAAACUGACUCCACCGCCAUGGCUUCUUCGACACUGCCAAUGGCGUCUAUGUCGUCGCCUGGUCCGAAUCUCCGUCAAGCUCUAAAACCUUGCCCUCCCACCGACCUGCAACCUCCUCCGCUCCCUCCACGAGCACACGCGCGAGGUUAGCUCCGCUGACUACAACCCCACGCGCCGCGACUCGUUUCUCACGAGUCGCGUGGGACGACACCGUGAAGCUUUGGACCGUUGACCAUCCCGCCUCCGUCAGCACGUUCAAGGAGCACGCCUACUGCGUCUAAUUUGUCGUCUUUGGUGUGAAAAGCUCGGAAGCUCGUUCCAGUCGUCAAUGGAGGCCUCCAAGACCUCCAGCGGUACAACCUUGAGGAAUGCUUUCGGUCCUAAAUCACUGAUAUUCCAAGUUUGAUCCUUAUUUCAAUUACAGAGUCACUCAGGUUGCUUCAACAAGAACUUUGACUGGUGACCUUUCUAAUCCAUUGUUGGUUAAACCUCUUCAACCAGUUGUUGCGCCAGUGGCUCCAGUAGCUCAGAAAUCUGAUGCACCUGAUCGUCUUAAUAAUUUAGUUGGCGCUGGGUAUCAAUCAUUUGAGAAUGCUAUUUUGAAGAAACUUGCACAGUCUGCCCAGAAGCAAAAAAUAAUAUUCAGAACUUAAGAUGCAUGAAGGGAUGGGUGAUCUCAAAAGCAAGGUUCAUGAUCUCAAUGGUUUCAGUGUAUAGGGAACUGCUGUGGAGUUUCUCUCUCAACUAUCUCAAGAUAGCGCAGAGGAAGAACUCUUGGUGUUAACAGUGUUGAAUAGUAUUAAAUACUAGGCAUCAGGUACAGUAAGGGUGGUUGUUCUAUACAUUUUAUAUUUCAUAUUUACAGAUGAAAUUCUAUCAGCCAUAACCAUUUGUACCGAGGGAGGUGACAUUUAGAGCCCCUUGCACAUUAUCAUUUUAGGCUUGUAAUUUGUAUCAAAUAACAAAUUACUGGUGUUUUCUUAUUUUAUCCAAAAAAAAAAAAUGGUCUUGAUGCUCA
Rosa chinensis is the source of this 1055-nucleotide long non-coding RNA. RefSeq lists it as uncharacterized. NCBI's taxonomy places the organism in Eukaryota, Viridiplantae, Streptophyta, Magnoliopsida, Rosales, Rosaceae. The record is from RefSeq and is a predicted model, not a curated record. The transcript has 5 exons.